UCGGAGUGAGUAGCAUAUAAAAAUUAAGUUAGGGACUAUGCUUGCAAACGGUCUAAAUUCACACUCAAAUGUAGCAAGCCACAAACUAAUUAAGGAUAGUACAUAUGCAUGGUUCGUCUCUGUCAAUGGAGGAAAAAAAAGAGAUAAACAUGAACAAAUUUAAACAAGCAGUAUUGCUAACAACACAUUUUCUUCUGCAUGUAAAGUGGUGGUAAGUGGUAAACAUAAGCCCUCCUAGCUAAGGGUCUUUAGGAUAUUAAUAAUUCACCAAUUUAGUCUUCAGCUCUUGGUUAUUUGCCCUCAAUUCAUUUACCUGGGUUAUAAGUGUCAGAAAGUUACAAUAUUAAUAGGGUGUCAGAAAAAUGGAUCAAAAUAAUUAAUCGCUAGCUAAUUAAAAUGUUUCUCCUGAAUUAUUUGGAGAAUAUUAUAUAUACUGAAACUUUAUAUGCCUCUAUACAUAUGUAUUCAUGAAGAAUAAAUCACUAGAACUAAAUAUUACACUUUUGGCAAAAUGUAUAGAAGGUGUCAGACCCGCGGGCCAAGGGACAGUCUCAGGUAGACAGUUUCUAUGGGGUAUAGGCCUCCCAAAAGUUAACGGAGGCGUGUGUGUGUAUAUAUAUAUAUAUAUAUAAAAUACUGAGAGCUAUAUAGUCUUUACUCCCGCAUGCAUGGAUAUUUUAAUGUUUAGGACAUAAACUUAUAAGAUUUUAUAAACUUAUUAUAAUAUAAACAUAAUGGUCAUAACUAUAUAUAAGAUUUUGACUGAAUAAAAUUAUCAUAAACAUCAAAUAUUUAAGACUAGAGGAAUAAUUAUGUCACUAGUACUAUGUUUGGACAAUAUUCCCUCUAAUUUGAUAAUUCUUAUUAUUUUAAACAACAAUAUGGUCAUUUUAAAUAUACAUUUAACUGUGAUUUUCUAUUAAUAUAUAUAAUAAAUAAAUGUUUGAUUUUAUGAAAGUACUCUUUAUAACUCAUAUACACUCAUUGUCCUAGUGUUUUUUAACUAAAUAUUUAAAAAUUGUUAAUUGUUAAACUUCUAAAGUUUGAUCAUAUUCUUAUCCAAAAGGAUAAAAAUUAUGGAACUGGACAAUGUUUUAAGCGUUUAAUUGAUGUUCCACACUACACGAGGGUAUCAUAUCUAUAAAAAAAAGGUGGCCAACCGGCCGGCCAUGACCAGCCGUACGUUGGCUCAUAGGUAAGUAGCGUACAUAUCAAAAUGUAGUACUAUUUUCUAUCAAUUCCACGUACAGUGCAGCUCUGCAGCAAACAGUUUUUUUUCUUUCUUGAAACAAAUGUUAUGAAGAAGAGACGGCUACGGCGCUGUUUGAAUCCAGUGACAGUCACUUAUUAAUUAGGAGUAUUAAAUUUAGAUUGAUAACAAAACUAAUUAUAUAAAUAAAGACUAUUUUAUUAGACAAAUUGUUUAAGCCUAAUUAAUCCACGAUUAGUAAAUGUUUACUGUAGCAUCACAUUCGCUAAUUAUGGACUAAUUAGGCUUAAUAGAUUUGUCUCAUGAAAUAGUCCAGAAUAUAAAGUGGAUUUUACUAAUAGACUAUAUUUAAUAUUUCUAAUUAGUGUCUAAACAUUCGAACAUUCAUGUGACAAGUACUUUUAAAAAAAAAGUUGAUAGUAUCCAAACACCCCCUACGUAUAUCUAUACAUUUUCUGUAACAUACAUAUAUAGACAUCAACUGUACGUACGUGCACUGUGUGGCAUGAAAUGCCGAGUAAGCAUAUCAGAAUUCCGUAGUAAUUAAUUUAGUUUGUCCACCGCGCAGAGUACUAUUAGAAUACGCUCUUACACAUUCAUUGUUCCAAAUUAAAAUUCACUUUGUAGUGACCUGUUCUAAAAUCAUGCAAACAGUGUACUGUUUAUACGUAAUGACUAAUGACACUAGCCACCAAUUAAAAUAUAUGUAGUCAUGCCAAGGCUCACCACUCUUAUUUUUCACUUCUGCCUAUGUUUAUAAACUAAAUUUUAAAUUUUUAAUCUUACAUUUACUGUUAAUUUUAGAGUUUUCUCAUCGUAUUUUAUUUUUCUUCAUUUGAUUUUUAGAUCAUAAAAACACAUAGAUAAAAAUUUUAUUUAUAAAUUAUUUUUCGUUUGCUACACGUGCUGAGGCAUGUACGGUGACCGUCUUUUUAUUGAAAAAUGACUGGUUUUGAUAUUGUACCAAAAGUGAACCUGGAUACUAAUUCAAAGAUAUGUAGAUGGGGGAUAUACACACACACCCUUUUUAUGUAUAUCCUACCUAGGGCAUCCAAACGGUAUGCCAAUGUUUUUCUCUCCUCCACUGUAGGGAAUUAAUAGUAGUAUCUAUGAAGGCAAGCAUGCAUGCAUCACAUAGUUUAGCAAUCUAGCUAGCUAAAUUUCACAUAGCUAACUUGAUUAGCAUUUCAUUUCAUUAAUUAACAAAAGUUCACAAAUAUGAAUGAAAAGUAAAAUAUCCGCGGAUACAUAAUAUAUCUACAUGGAAAGGUAUUUUAUUACUCUGUUAGGAUAUCCACUCCUUUCUUGCAAAGUCACCUAAAUAGUCAUUAUUUUUUAAAAAAAUUGAUAAGAUAAAUUAAUAUAAGAUAUAUCACUCCACACAAGUUUAAAUUCGACUUCUGCUAGUUUUAUUUUAAAUUGUUUUUGUUACGACUUGUACAUGUCGAAUUUGAACUUGCAUGUUUGUAGAGAUAGUAUGUUAAUCUAUCUUAUCCUUUCUUUAAAAAGUUCUAAAUAAUUAUUUAUAUGACAUGUAAAUAAUUUGUGGAUAUCCAACUAAAUGAUGAAAACCCAUCUCCAUAUCUACAUGCAUAGUAAGAGAGGUAUUGAGGUACAGAGAAAAAAUCUAGUAUGCAUAUAAUCACAGAAUUAAGAAAACCUAAUGCGCGCAUUCUUUGGGUGCAAAUUAAGCCGAAUUAAUAGAAACAAACCUGCCCACGGAUCGAAGUUGAACAGGCCNN
RNAcentral lists this long non-coding RNA (2952 nucleotides) under Oryza brachyantha (malo sina). Its description in RNAcentral is "long non-coding RNA (OBRA_LNC001449)". The record is from RNAcentral. Lineage: Eukaryota; Viridiplantae; Streptophyta; Magnoliopsida; Poales; Poaceae.